RNAcentral lists this ribosomal RNA (492 nucleotides) under uncultured bacterium. RNAcentral describes it as "partial 16S ribosomal RNA". It matches the Rfam family "Bacterial small subunit ribosomal RNA", at positions 29 to 507 of the family's 1533-position model. The record is from RNAcentral.
AGUGAACGCUGGCGGUAGGCCUAACACAUGCAAGUCGAACGGCAGCACAGUAAGAGCUUGCUCUUACGGGUGGCGAGUGGCGGACGGGUGAGGAGUACAUCGGAAUCUACUUUUUCGUGGGGGAUAACGUAGGGAAACUUACGCUAAUACCUCAUACGACCUACGGGUGAAAUCAGGGGAUCUUCGGACCUUGCGCGAUUGAAUGAGCCGAUGUCGGAUUAUCUAGUUGGAGGGGUAAAGGCCCACCAAGGCGACGAUCCGUAGCUGGUCUGAGAGGAUGAUCAGCCACACUGGAACUGAGAAAAGGUCCAGACUCCUACGGGAGGCAGCAGUGGGGAAUAUUGGACAAUGGGCGCAAGCCUGAUCCAGCCAUACCGCGUGGGUGAAGAAGGCCUUCGGGUUGUAAAGCCCUUUUGUUGGGAAAGAAAAGCAGCAGGUUAAUACCCCGAUGUUCUGACGGUACCCAAAGAAUAAGCACCGGCUAACUUCGUG